Molecule: non-coding RNA, 257 nt
Organism: Paramuricea clavata
Lineage: Eukaryota; Metazoa; Cnidaria; Anthozoa; Malacalcyonacea; Plexauridae
Source: the annotation of a GenBank genome assembly
CAAACGCCUUCCAGCUGCAGAUCGUCGGUUACAAAAUUCUUCAGUGAUUGAUAAUCACCAGUCCAUGCUAAGCUAAGCUUUUCACCAAAUAAUAUCGCCAUAACCUUAUUCGCGUUCAAAGAUUAUGCGUUCAAAGACUAACCAAGUAAAUUAUUGAUUCAUUUAUAGUCUAUAUACUUUCUUAAUGACUAAAGUUGAGGAGCCCAAAAAUAGACAUCCUCCUCGAGCCAAUAUGUGUUCAGUAUGUUUAAUACACC